UUAAAUUGAAGAGUUUGAUCAUGGCUCAGAUUGAACGCUGGCGGCAGGCCUAACACAUGCAAGUCGAACGGUAACAGGAAACAGCUUGCUGUUUCGCUGACGAGUGGCGGACGGGUGAGUAAUGUCUGGGAAACUGCCCGAUGGAGGGGGAUAACUACUGGAAACGGUAGCUAAUACCGCAUAACGUCGCAAGACCAAAGAGGGGGACCUUCGGGCCUCUUGCCAUCGGAUGUGCCCAGAUGGGAUUAGCUAGUAGGUGGGGUAAAGGCUCACCUAGGCGACGAUCCCUAGCUGGUCUGAGAGGAUGACCAGCCACACUGGAACUGAGACACGGUCCAGACUCCUACGGGAGGCAGCAGUGGGGAAUAUUGCACAAUGGGCGCAAGCCUGAUGCAGCCAUGCCGCGUGUAUGAAGAAGGCCUUCGGGUUGUAAAGUACUUUCAGCGGGGAGGAAGGGAGUAAAGUUAAUACCUUUGCUCAUUGACGUUACCCGCAGAAGAAGCACCGGCUAACUCCGUGCCAGCAGCCGCGGUAAUACGGAGGGUGCAAGCGUUAAUCGGAAUUACUGGGCGUAAAGCGCACGCAGGCGGUUUGUUAAGUCAGAUGUGAAAUCCCCGGGCUCAACCUGGGAACUGCAUCUGAUACUGGCAAGCUUGAGUCUCGUAGAGGGGGGUAGAAUUCCAGGUGUAGCGGUGAAAUGCGUAGAGAUCUGGAGGAAUACCGGUGGCGAAGGCGGCCCCCUGGACGAAGACUGACGCUCAGGUGCGAAAGCGUGGGGAGCAAACAGGAUUAGAUACCCUGGUAGUCCACGCCGUAAACGAUGUCGACUUGGAGGUUGUGCCCUUGAGGCGUGGCUUCCGGAGCUAACGCGUUAAGUCGACCGCCUGGGGAGUACGGCCGCAAGGUUAAAACUCAAAUGAAUUGACGGGGGCCCGCACAAGCGGUGGAGCAUGUGGUUUAAUUCGAUGCAACGCGAAGAACCUUACCUGGUCUUGACAUCCACGGAAGUUUUCAGAGAUGAGAAUGUGCCUUCGGGAACCGUGAGACAGGUGCUGCAUGGCUGUCGUCAGCUCGUGUUGUGAAAUGUUGGGUUAAGUCCCGCAACGAGCGCAACCCUUAUCCUUUGUUGCCAGCGGUCCGGCCGGGAACUCAAAGGAGACUGCCAGUGAUAAACUGGAGGAAGGUGGGGAUGACGUCAAGUCAUCAUGGCCCUUACGACCAGGGCUACACACGUGCUACAAUGGCGCAUACAAAGAGAAGCGACCUCGCGAGAGCAAGCGGACCUCAUAAAGUGCGUCGUAGUCCGGAUUGGAGUCUGCAACUCGACUCCAUGAAGUCGGAAUCGCUAGUAAUCGUGGAUCAGAAUGCCACGGUGAAUACGUUCCCGGGCCUUGUACACACCGCCCGUCACACCAUGGGAGUGGGUUGCAAAAGAAGUAGGUAGCUUAACCUUCGGGAGGGCGCUUACCACUUUGUGAUUCAUGACUGGGGUGAAGUCGUAACAAGGUAACCGUAGGGGAACCUGCGGUUGGAUCACCUCCUUACCUUAAAGAAGC
Molecule: ribosomal RNA, 1556 nt
Filed under: Escherichia coli
Lineage: Bacteria; Pseudomonadati; Pseudomonadota; Gammaproteobacteria; Enterobacterales; Enterobacteriaceae
Description: bacterial SSU rRNA
Rfam family: Bacterial small subunit ribosomal RNA
Source: RNAcentral